RNAcentral lists this ribosomal RNA (1300 nucleotides) under metagenome. RNAcentral describes it as "bacterial SSU rRNA". It matches the Rfam family "Bacterial small subunit ribosomal RNA", at positions 202 to 1498 of the family's 1533-position model. The record is from RNAcentral.
CAAGGCCUUGCGCUCUUUGAGCGGCCGAUGUCAGAUUAGCUAGUUGGUGAGGUAAAGGCUUACCAAGGCGACGAUCUGUAGCGGGUCUGAGAGGAUGAUCCGCCACACUGGAACUGAGACACGGUCCAGACUCCUACGGGAGGCAGCAGUGGGGAAUUUUGGACAAUGGGGGCAACCCUGAUCAGCCAUGCCGCGUGAGUGAAGAAGGCCUUCGGGUUGUAAAGCUCUUUCGGCCGGGAAGAAAUCGCAUGGGCCAAUACCCUGUGUGGAUGACGGUACCGGAAUAAGAAGCACCGGCUAACUACGUGCCAGCAGCCGCGGUAAUACGUAGGGUGCGAGCGUUAAUCGGAAUUACUGGGCGUAAAGCGUGCGCAGGCGGUUUUGUAAGACAGGCGUGAAAUCCCCGGGCUUAACCUGGGAACUGCGUUUGUGACUGCAAGGCUAGAGUACGGCAGAGGGGGGUGGAAUUCCACGUGUAGCAGUGAAAUGCGUAGAGAUGUGGAGGAACACCAAUGGCGAAGGCAGCCCCCUGGGUCGAUACUGACGCUCAUGCACGAAAGCGUGGGUAGCAAACAGGAUUAGAUACCCUGGUAGUCCACGCCCUAAACUAUGUCAACUAGGUGUUGGGUGGGUAAAACCAUUUAGUACCGUAGCUAACGCGUGAAGUUGACCGCCUGGGGAGUACGGCCGCAAGGUUAAAACUCAAAGGAAUUGACGGGGACCCGCACAAGCGGUGGAUGAUGUGGAUUAAUUCGAUGCAACGCGAAAAACCUUACCUACCCUUGACAUGCCAGGAACUUGCCAGAGAUGGCUUGGUGCCCGAAAGGGAGCCUGGACACAGGUGCUGCAUGGCUGUCGUCAGCUCGUGUCGUGAGAUGUUGGGUUAAGUCCCGCAACGAGCGCAACCCUUGUCGUUAAUUGCCAUCAUUUAGUUGGGCACUUUAACGAGACUGCCGGUGACAAACCGGAGGAAGGUGGGGAUGACGUCAAGUCCUCAUGGCCCUUAUGGGUAGGGCUUCACACGUCAUACAAUGGUCGGUACAAAGGGUUGCCAAGCCGCGAGGUGGAGCCAAUCCCAGAAAGCCGAUCGUAGUCCGGAUUGCAGGCUGCAACUCGCCUGCAUGAAGUCGGAAUCGCUAGUAAUCGUGGAUCAGCAUGUCACGGUGAAUACGUUCCCGGGUCUUGUACACACCGCCCGUCACACCAUGGGAGCGGGUUCCGCCAGAAGUAGGUAGCCUAACCGCAAGGGGGGCGCUCACCACGGCGGGGUUCGUGACUGGGGUGAAGUCGGAACAAGGUA